Molecule: ribosomal RNA, 440 nt
Filed under: uncultured bacterium
Lineage: Bacteria
Description: bacterial SSU rRNA
Rfam family: Bacterial small subunit ribosomal RNA
Source: RNAcentral
CCUACGGGGGGCAGCAGUGGGGAAUAUUGGACAAUGGGGGAAACCCUGAUCCAGCAAUGCCGCGUGUGUGAAGAAGGCCUGCGGGUUGUAAAGCACUUUCAGUUGGGAAGAAACAGCGACCGGCUAAUAUCCGGUUGUCUUGACGUAACCAACAGAAGAAGCACCGGCUAACUCCGUGCCAGCAGCCGCGGUAAUACGGAGGGUGCAAGCGUUAAUCGGAAUUACUGGGCGUAAAGCGUACGUAGGCGGUUAGAUUAGUCGGAUGUGAAAGCCCCGGGCUUAACCUGGGAAUUGCAUUCGAUACUGUCUGGCUUGAAUGUGGAAGAGGGAAGUGGAAUUCCAGGUGUAGCGGUGAAAUGCGUAGAUAUCUGGAGGAACAUCAGUGGCGAAGGCGACUUCCUGGUCCAACAUUGACGCUGAGGUACGAAAGCGUGGGGAGC